Molecule: unclassified non-coding RNA, 2850 nt
Filed under: Leishmania donovani
Lineage: Eukaryota; Euglenozoa; Kinetoplastea; Trypanosomatida; Trypanosomatidae
Description: gene:LdHU3.34.4350(CDS-product:Amastin_surface_gl ycoprotein_putative)
Source: RNAcentral
AGGCUCUCCUUGGCUCUCUCCCAUUCGCCGCCCUCCGCCCUCCUCUCCAGCUCUGUCGCGCCAUCUCGACUCCCCUGUGGUUCGCUCUGCUGUGCACCUCCGCUUCACCUUUCUCAGCAUUUCGGCGCGAGGUUUCGAAGAUGGGGUGCAAGUUCACCUUUCUCGUCUACGCGAUCCUCCAGCUCAUCGCGUUCCUUUCCGUGCUGAUCGGUACGCCGCUGGAGAUGUUUCGUGGCACCACGAGGGACCCGUAUAACGUAUCCUUGUGCAUCACUUUAUGGGGUACAAAGUACGACUUCCAAUGCCACUUCAUCAUGUACGCCCAGACGACGGACGGGCAGUGGGCGCGUUGCACGACCCGCCGCCAACAUUUCCGCAUGGCUGAGGCGUUGGUAGUCAUCUCCAUCAUCCUGUACGCCUUGGCGGCGCUGCUUGGCUUCAUUAUGCUGUUCUGCUGCUCUUUGCUCCGCUGGGUAUGCCUGGCGCUCAACGUCGUUGGCCUCUUAACGUUGGGCAUCACCUGGGGCCUUAUGGUGACGGAGUUCAACAAGGGUGACGGCCCACUUUGCCCUCCUCUGAAGAACAACUACAAGUUUGGCUACGGCUUCUUUCUCCUGUUGGUGGCCUGGGUCCUGGAUCUCGUCGACAUCGUCUUCUUGCUGUUCCCGUUGCCGACUAUGCGCUCAGAUGAGAGUGAGAAAUCGAACGAAAGCGUAGAGCAGGAGUAGGCGGAAGGGAGCCGCAGGAGGCGGAGGGGCGGUGUUGCUAGCCGCGCGGCAGCUUCGCGACGACGCGCUCGUGGAGGAGCCGGCGGAGCUGAUGUCAGCGUGCCAGAGGGAGGGAGCGAGGGCUGCGGAUACUCGCCCCUGCCCUUCGCCGGCAGCUCUCCGUCUGCUGCUCGCUGCCCUCUCGUGCGUGCGCGUGAGGUGCGCCGCACGCGCUGCCGAGGGGGUGCAGACGUGCAGGCACGCCCUGGCAUGCACAUGCCGAGGAGCCGCUCUCGCUUUCUGCGCUUCCGCGUCUCUUUCUCCGUUUCCCGUCGUGCUGCAUUGCUGUCGAGUGCCAGUGCGGCGUAUGCGGGCACUUGCUGACGUGUUCAUGGUUUCUCCCUCGCCUGUCUUCGUCUUCUCGUGCGUGUGCCGCUUGUUGAGCUUUCCGCCUCUCGCCUCGCUGUUGCCUUUUCUGCUGACCUGCGCAGCGGUCUGCGCGUUGUGGUGGGCAGCGCACCCUUGACGGCGACCCGCCCACCGAUGACCCCUCCCUCCCCCUCUGAGCGGUCGCCCUCGCUGCCUUGUUGAAGCAGGCCCCCCCCCUCUCCCCCGCACGCUCGGCGGGCGCAGCCUUGGCGAGACGAGAGGGCGAGCGGGGAAGCGAGGGGGUGGCACGGGCGUCGCCGGCCGGAGCAUUGAGGUGUGCAAGCGAGGGUGCACGGCUGCGAGGGCGAGGGAAGGCCGACGACGAGAACGGGCGAGGAAGAGACGGACGCGCUGGAAAGAGGGACGGUGAGCGCAAGGCCGCCACCGCACUGGUGGCCAGCCUCCGCCCCCUCCCUCCGUACAUCGGUGUCGCGGCCGCGCGUGUUUCCUGUACUUCUCUGGGGCGCCCCCUCUCGCCCCGUCUCUGUCUCCUCGCCCUCACGCACGCCGCAUGGACUCCUCAAACGGAGAGGGGGGAGGGGGCGGGGUGCCACGUGUGGUGGUGGCGGGCGCAGGAACCAAACGGGCUAAUGGGCGGACGGCACGGGGAGGAGAGAGGACGGCGUCCGCGGACCCAGAAGCGACACACAGGUGCGUACGCAGCGCUAAAGAGGGCGAUUGCAGCUCUUGCUCCUCUUGGUUCCUUGCGCCCCAUGCACGGCCUACGUGUGCGCGCACACACCGACGCGCGCGCAGGUGCGCAGGAGGGGCGGCACCCCCUGCUGCCGUGUAAGGGGCUGCGGUGUCGGGCGGGGCAGUGGGGAGAGAGAGGGCGAGGCUGGCGAGGUGGCGGGUGGGAGGCUCUCCAUGGUGCACGAAGGGCGACCUCACGUCGGACGUGGGCGUGCGUGGUGAGGCGUGUGCCCUUUGCGUUGCUCUCGAGCCCUCGUCGCGUUUGUGCCCUCCGCUGUUUUCCGUGUCUCUUUCUGCUUCCGCAUGGACGCGCGCCUCCCCUCGACCCCCGCUGUCGCACACGGCAUGCGCGUGUGUGCCGGUGCAUGCGCCCUUGUGACCGUCCUCCCCCUUCCUCAGCGGAUGCCCCCUCCCCGCCGCCCCUCUCUUGCUGCGGCGACUGCCCCGCGCUCCUCGCACUCCCAGGGAGGAAGAAGCGCCGCUGCGACAGGAGAGCCGCCGAGCACACCCUCUGUCCCGCCCCCCUCCUUAUGUUGCCGCUGCUUCCUCCUCUCGUCUCGUGCUCUUGUGCGCACCCGCCGCUACGCGUCUUCACUUGCUUUGCUGCUCUUUUCCGCGUGCCGGUACCCGCGCUCCCCUUUCUCUCGGUCCUCCGCAGGCCACGGACGCGUGGGGCCCGCCUGCGUGUGCGUGUGCGUGUGCGUCUCUCCCGUCGCUUUAUGCGCGCCGCUGUCCUUCUCUUGUGCCUCUCUCCCCGUGCGCAGGCGAGAGGGGCUGGCUGAGACGGCGAAGAGAACGGCCACGGCAGCACAGCGGAGCAGGGGGACGGGGGAGGGGGUGAGUGCGCAACGGCGACGGCGCCCCCAAAGGAUAGGGGGCUAGCCCUUCAACAGGAGUGCGUGCCUGCGUGUGUGUGCUUGUCUCUGUGCGCGUUGUGUCUUUAUUAUGUCUUCGCCUUUCUUGUGUCGCUUCUUUUGCUUUUCUUUGUUUCGAUGCCUAAUCACACCACCGAGUCCUCCAG